CAUGCAAGUCGAACGAGCGAGAGAGAGCUUGCUUUCUCGAGCGAGUGGCGAACGGGUGAGUAACGCGUGAGGAACCUGCCUCAAAGAGGGGGACAACAGUUGGAAACGACUGCUAAUACCGCAUAAGCCCACGGCUCGGCAUCGAGCAGAGGGAAAAGGAGCAAUCCGCUUUGAGAUGGCCUCGCGUCCGAUUAGCUAGUUGGUGAGGUAACGGCCCACCAAGGCGACGAUCGGUAGCCGGACUGAGAGGUUGAACGGCCACAUUGGAACUGAGACACGGCCCAGACUCCUACGGGAGGCAGCAGUGGGGAAUAUUGCACAAUGGGGGAAACCCUGAUGCAGCGACGCCGCGUGGAGGAAGAAGGUCUUCGGAUUGUAAACUCCUGUUGUUGGGGAAGAUAAUGACGGUACCCAACAAGGAAGUGACGGCUAACUACGUGCCAGCAGCCGCGGUAAAACGUAGGUCACAAGCGUUGUCCGGAAUUACUGGGUGUAAAGGGAGCGCAGGCGGGAAGACAAGUUGGAAGUGAAAUCUAUGGGCUCAACCCAUAAACUGCUUUCAAAACUGUUUUUCUUGAGUAGUGCAGAGGUAGGCGGAAUUCCCGGUGUAGCGGUGGAAUGCGUAGAUAUCGGGAGGAACACCAGUGGCGAAGGCGGCCUACUGGGCACCAACUGACGCUGAGGCUCGAAAGUGUGGGUAGCAAACAGGAUUAGAUACCCUGGUAGUCCACACCGUAAACGAUGAUUACUAGGUGUUGGAGGAUUGACCCCUUCAGUGCCGCAGUUAACACAAUAAGUAAUCCACCUGGGGAGUACGACCGCA
This 823-nucleotide ribosomal RNA is filed under the name uncultured bacterium. Its description in RNAcentral is "bacterial SSU rRNA". It matches the Rfam family "Bacterial small subunit ribosomal RNA", at positions 54 to 890 of the family's 1533-position model. The record is from RNAcentral.